CAAUUGGCCUUUAAUUGGGGUCGGGUAUGAAGGAAGGAAUUUAAGUGUAACUGUCUCAGAAGCAGUAUUUUAGUGAAUUUACUUAUUGGGUGAAAAUUCCCAAUUAUAAACAAAAGACGAGAAGACCCUUAGACUUUAUUCUAAAUAUAGUUAGUACUAUAUCAGGCUUUGUUGGGGCGACAGAAUGUCAUCUACUAAAACACAUUCAUAAAAUUGUGAGAUUUAACAAAUGUUAUUUCUUAUAGUUGAAGUACCUAAGGGAUAACAGCAUUAUUAAUUAAUUACAUUG
Molecule: ribosomal RNA, 289 nt
Filed under: Clessinia minor
Lineage: Eukaryota; Metazoa; Mollusca; Gastropoda; Stylommatophora; Odontostomidae
Description: Spixia minor partial 16S ribosomal RNA
Source: RNAcentral